GGACCUACACAAGCGGUGGAUCACGUGGCUUAAUUCGACAGUAAGCGAGGAACCUUACCAGGGCUUGACAGACUAUUGAAGACACUUCGAAAGAUGUGUUUACCCGCAAGGGACAGUAGUCCAGGUGCUGCAUGGUUGUCGUCAGCAGGUGGCUUGAGUUGCUCCCUUAAAUGGGGUAACCUGCGCAACCCUUGUCCUAUGUUUCAUGUGUCAUAGGAGACUGCCUGGGACGACCAGGAGGAAGGUGAGGAUGACGCCAAAUCAGCAUGGCCUUUUGAUGCCCUGGGCUGCACACGUGAUACAAUGGAGCCGACAAUGGGAUGCCAAAGAGUAAUCUGGAGCAAAUCCUAACAAACGGCCCCUCAAUACGGAUUGAGGUCUGAAACCCGACCUCAUGAAGCCGGAAUCGCUAGUAACCGCAGAUCAGCCACGCUGCGGUGAAUAUGUCCCUGGGUCUU
RNAcentral lists this ribosomal RNA (458 nucleotides) under uncultured bacterium. RNAcentral describes it as "bacterial SSU rRNA". It matches the Rfam family "Bacterial small subunit ribosomal RNA", at positions 917 to 1382 of the family's 1533-position model. The record is from RNAcentral.